GAUGAACGCUGGCGGCGUGCCUAAUACAUGCAAGUAGAACGCUGAAGCUUGGUGCUUGCACCGAGCGGAUGAGUUGCGAACGGGUGAGUAACGCGUAGGUAACCUGCCUGGUAGCGGGGGAUAACUAUUGGAAACGAUAGUUAAUACCGCAUAACAGUCGACAUUGCAUGAUGUUGAUUUGAAAGGGGCAAUUGCUCCACUACCAGAUGGACCUGCGUUGUAUUAGCUAGUUGGUGAGGUAACGGCUCACCAAGGCGACGAUACAUAGCCGACCUGAGAGGGUGAUCGGCCACACUGGGACUGAGACACGGCCCAGACUCCUACGGGAGGCAGCAGUAGGGAAUCUUCGGCAAUGGGGGCAACCCUGACCGAGCAACGCCGCGUGAGUGAAGAAGGUUUUCGGAUCGUAAAGCUCUGUUGUAAGAGAAGAACGAGUGUGAGAGUGGAAAGUUCACACUGUGACGGAACUACCAGAAAGGACG
This 482-nucleotide ribosomal RNA is filed under the name Streptococcus sp. oral taxon 068. RNAcentral describes it as "bacterial SSU rRNA". It matches the Rfam family "Bacterial small subunit ribosomal RNA", at positions 28 to 494 of the family's 1533-position model. The record is from RNAcentral. Lineage: Bacteria; Bacillati; Bacillota; Bacilli; Lactobacillales; Streptococcaceae.